CUUCUCUUAACAUGUCUGCAUUUGUAAUGCUCUUUUUACUAGGUCCUCUUUAUGCUUUUCCUGAGGUCAAGUUUACUGGAUUAAGAAUGUUGUUAAAAAAAGAUCAAGCUCACAGACGAGGAAUGCUCCUACGCUUACAUGCUAAGCAAACAGGCACUGAGAAGACAUGCACAGUCUAUACAGUGAGCUCGUCUCCUCACCUCUGGAGGGGUGUAUUCCACUGCGACUGCAUCACCGUUUCUUGGGUAUAUGUUAAGAAGUGUUAAGAGUCCUCAGACUCUUAACAAUGGGACUGACAGAUUAAAGGGUCUUGGAGAACUAGUGAAUUUUAAAGGGGAAUAGGUUUCCUAAUAUGAAGGCAUUGUUACAUGGUAAUAAUGUUUUGCCCAUGUGUGCAAAUGGUACAGUACAUGCAACACAUCUAUAAAUCCUGUCCAAUUUUUUUCUUAUUAUCUCACAAACUAACUGCAAAUGUUUCCCAGGUAAGCGUCAUGCUUUACAAUUAUCCUAAUAAUAAAUGGUAUAUCUAUUUUUUUCAAAUACAAGAAAAAGUAACAUUAAGGAUGAUCCAAGCAGAAAAUGUAUACUUCUUCCACUGGUGGACAUCAGUGUAAUUCUUUGCAAAGACAAAGAAAUUGUCUUCCCCACAAGAUAGAGAUAUAUUUGCUUAUAGUGCAUAGUUCCUUACGAUCGACAGUUCUCAUGACAGGAUAGCUGCUGUGCUGCGAACUCAAUGGAAACGUGUGGAGGUUUAAGUCCAAAGGACUUCCUGUACUGUGUGAGCAUCCAUGACACUGAUGACCAUCCAUGAAAGAUUCUUGCAUUUAGAGUGGUGGGACAAACAUUUGCCCUGGUUUGCUACUUCUGUUUUUCCCCUUCGCAGUAGAAGUGAAAGUCGGAUCACGACAGUUUAUAAAACGAAGACGCUCCUGCACUCAGAACAAUUGAAUGCUUGAGUUUCAACUUAUUUAUUACUGUUCCUUUUUAUAGAUUUAGGUGAAUAAAAAUAUUAUAAAAUAUACAACUGAAUAUGCAUCCAUUUAUACAUGAACGUGUAUAAAACAACCUACCCUUUACUAGAAUGUAGAUCAUGGCUUCCUUUUUGUUUCUUUUUUUGUGACGAGGUUAUGCCUGAUCUUUAAAGUCUCUUUCCUCUGAUAGUUUGUACAACCUGUGCUUAAUCUAAUUUAUGCUACUGAUGACCAUCAUGACAGCUGUGUUGUUUUGAUUGUUACCGCCCAGUGGUUAAAUGCAGCCUUGCCUUACUGGAACCCCUGCUUAGUGAGGGAUCCCUCAGCCACUUUACCGCCCCCCACAACUCCUAUGUCAUAACACUGUUUGCUGAUGCAACUAUUAUUCCUUUUACACUUUCUGCUGACGCAACUACUUCUUCUUGGACACCUAUUAAAAUAACAUAUAUU
Molecule: long non-coding RNA, 1421 nt
Organism: Gasterosteus aculeatus aculeatus (three-spined stickleback)
Lineage: Eukaryota; Metazoa; Chordata; Actinopteri; Perciformes; Gasterosteidae
Source: Ensembl